AAUUUUUAGGCAGGGCAUGUGUUUUCCAAUUCAGCUUCAGGACCCAUUACUUCCAUAGCCAGACUAUUGAUUUACCUGCCUAGCUUUUGUAGAUAUUGUGAUAUGCCACCAACACCUCAGUAUUCCUGAAUUUCCUUGAGAGAGUUCUGCUCUGGUAAUGGUGGUCUCAGGCCAAGAAACCUUUGGGCUGAAAAUCUCUGAAGAGGCUUUGGUCCUUCCUCAGUAUCCAGCCCACCCAGCAGAUGUGGUAAGCACCCAAUAUGUGCUCAGCCCUAAGCUGGGGAGUGUUGAGGAUACAAAGACAUUUGAGCCGCAUUGGCUUUCUGCUUUCAAGAUACUUAAAAAUGUAGUUUCAAAGACAAGACUAAUUCAUACAAAGCAAGAGCCAACAAUCACUACAAAUAGACUUAUAUACUCAUUCGUAAGGCUCUGGCCACAAACAUUCCAUUUCAGAGAAGAGAAAUCAUAGUGAGGAUCAUGGUCAUCAGAGAGGGCUCCUGGGUAGUCGAAGUUAAGUUUAACAGUGCAGGUUGUGGGUAAAAGGACUCUUCCUGGUGGGAGAAAAACUUACCAGCUCAUGCUGAAUCUAGGGAAUGGGCCAUGGAGUUCAUUUGGCAAUAACAAAUGCAGUGUAUCUCUAGCAGAAUAUAGAAGGGUGGACUGGAGAGCAAUUGUGAGAAAGAUUGGAGGAUCAGGAUAGAGGCCUCUUGAUGGAGGGAGGGCCUUUGUAUCUAUUUUAUUUCAAUCCCUAA
Molecule: long non-coding RNA, 752 nt
Filed under: Homo sapiens (human)
Lineage: Eukaryota; Metazoa; Chordata; Mammalia; Primates; Hominidae
Description: HSALNT0148421
Source: RNAcentral